RNAcentral lists this microRNA (19 nucleotides) under Monodelphis domestica (gray short-tailed opossum). RNAcentral's name for it is "mdo-miR-12310-3p". Lineage: Eukaryota; Metazoa; Chordata; Mammalia; Didelphimorphia; Didelphidae. The record is from miRBase by way of RNAcentral.
AUUUUGGAAGUCUUUUAGA